Molecule: ribosomal RNA, 467 nt
Filed under: uncultured bacterium
Lineage: Bacteria
Description: partial 16S ribosomal RNA
Rfam family: Bacterial small subunit ribosomal RNA
Source: RNAcentral
GACGAACGCUGGCGGCGUGCUUAACACAUGCAAGUCGAACGGAAAGGCCCGGUUUUUUGGGGUGGUCGGGUGGCGAAAGGGGGGGGAAAAACUGGGUAAACUGCCCCUGACCUUGGGGUUAAUUCAGGGAAAUGGGGGUAAUAACGGGAAAGAAGAUCUUGUGCCUGGUGGGGGUUGGGAAGUUUCGGGGGUUGGGGAUGGACUGGCGGGUUAUCAGGUUGUUUGAGGGGGUGGGGCUUGCCAAGGCUUUGGAGGGUAGCCGGCCUUAGAGGGUGAACGGGCACAAUGGGACUGAGGUAGGGACCAGACGCCUACGGGAGGCAGCAGUGGGGAAUAUUGCACAAUGGGCGGAAGCCUGAUGCAGCGACGCCGCGUGCGGGAUGACGGCCUUCGGGUUGUAAACCGCUUUCGCCUGUGACGAAGCGUGAGUGACGGUAAUGGGUAAAGAAGCACCGGCUAACUACGUG